CGGGAUGGUGCUUUUUUGCAACCUGCCUAAGAAGUUUGCUAAUGCCCCUGAUUUAUUAUAGGGGCUGAGAGAAACAGCUUUGCACAGCAGGAUAAGCAUGCUUUUGACUUGGUUCCAGGAUAUGAUCUGCAGAGCCCUGGGAAGAGAACUCUCUCCUCUGCCUUCCUGUGCUCCUCCAAGAGGGAAUGCUGGGUGCUCAGCACAUCCAGAGGGUUGGACCUCCGAGUUUCACAGAAUGACAGCAGCAAUAUUCAGAGACAAUAUCCAGGGAAAAGGUUUGCCAUUGGAAGUUGCUGAAGAAAUAUUGUCUCCUGCUCCUGGCUAUGGCAACUGGAAUUAGCAGACCAAUCCUUUCCUUCCCUUCUCCCUGAAAAGGACAGUGGGAGGCCAGGACACCACCUUUAUCUGAAGGCUUAUAUUGAAACUCUGAACAAGCAGUCCAUGAUUUUGAAGGAGAGGAGGAGGGCUUUUUCCCUCACCUGAGGAAUCUGCUCUUGAGCUGAAGACCACAGCCUCUAAAAGCCUGGAGUGGUGAUGUUUGUCUUUCAGAAAUCCAUGCAGGUUUUGUUUUAAGGAAAAGAGUGUUUACUCACCAAGGACAUGUUUCCAAACUCUCCAUCCGCACCAGUCCUGGUUUUUAUGGUGUCUCAUCACAGAUCCCUGUAAAGCUCUGGGUGCAGGGCUCCUCAGUGCUGGGCCCUCAGUCCAGGAAGGGUGAAGGAGGUGCCUGAUGUGGUCCAGAGAUCUGCUCCCAGACAGCAAAGGAAUGGAAAGGACGUUUUGCACGUGGCCGAAUUCCUGCAGAAUUACUUUACUGCUGAAAAUAAGCACACUAAUAAUGCGUGGAGGUUUCUACCCACCCAACCCAUCUAUCAGAUGGAACUUGUGAAAGUGGUGGAAUAAGAGGU
Long non-coding RNA from Passer montanus (Eurasian tree sparrow), 908 nucleotides. RefSeq lists it as uncharacterized. The transcript has 5 exons. The record is from RefSeq and is a predicted model, not a curated record. Lineage: Eukaryota; Metazoa; Chordata; Aves; Passeriformes; Passeridae.